GUUCGGCUGAGUCCGAGGGUCGCCCCAGCGGGAAGGAAACCCCGAAGGUAGUGAAGAGGAAGCAAAAAAAAAUUGGUUCUUCCAUCCGUGGAUCGAUGAUGGAAGACCGAUGAUGAACGAAAGACCCUUUUGGGGAUUGAAGAACCACCAUCCUCGGGCUUUCGGAUGGGGUCGGAGGAUGAAGAACGCCCGAAAGAGAGAAAUACGGGAAA
Molecule: long non-coding RNA, 212 nt
Filed under: Elaeis guineensis (African oil palm)
Lineage: Eukaryota; Viridiplantae; Streptophyta; Magnoliopsida; Arecales; Arecaceae
Description: long non-coding RNA (EGUI_LNC021207)
Source: RNAcentral